Sarcophilus harrisii (Tasmanian devil) is the source of this 5228-nucleotide long non-coding RNA. RefSeq lists it as uncharacterized. The transcript has 2 exons. NCBI's taxonomy places the organism in Eukaryota, Metazoa, Chordata, Mammalia, Dasyuromorphia, Dasyuridae. The record is from RefSeq and is a predicted model, not a curated record.
GAGGCAGACAGGAUCAAGUGACUUGCCAAGAGUCACAUAAGUGUUUUGAGGCCAGAUUUUAGCUAAGGAUUAAUUCUUAUACUGGCAAUCUAUUCCUUCCACCAUCUACCAGUGUUGCAAAGUUACUAAUCUAAUCUCUUCCUUGCCAAAUUCAAAGACCACUUCUAAAUCUUCAUAUUGGCUUCUCUGCAGCUUUUGAAGAUAAUUUACCCUCUCCUUAAUUCUCUUGUUUUUGGGAUACCAUUCUCUCCUGUUCCCCUACUGUUCCUUUACUUGGAUCCUCAUUUAAAUAAUACCAAUUAAUCAAAUGUAACAGCUGAUACCUAGGAUUUGAUACUGGACCCUCAUUUCUCCUAUAGUAGCUCACCUAGUGACCUCAAUUUUAAUUACCAUCUUCAAGCUGAGGAUUGUCAAAUCUACUUAUCCUGCCCAAAGUCUGUUAACCUCCCAGUGUUGGAUUACUGCUUUUCAGAUAACUAAACUAGAGAUCUGGUAAGCAUCAAAACUUGCCAUAUCCAAAGCAGAGCUCAUAAUUCCCCCCCUCUCCCCGAAACAAAAAAUUAUUCAUGCUUUCUCUGUAGAAUACAAUGCAUCUUCCCAUUUCUUCAGGUUCACUACAUUUCAUCCUGAAUGCAUAUCUAAUCUGUUGCCAAGGCCUACCAAUUUCACCUUUAAAACAUUUCUUAAAUACUUAUUACACUUAUUACUAUGGAGUAGGCCUUUGUCACCUCAUACUUGGAUUAUUUUAAUGGCUUGCUAAUGGAUCUUCCUGCAAGUCACUUCCAUGUCAUACCCCUUACUCAUUAAAAGUCAGUAGCUUCCUAUUACUUCCAAGAUCCAUGUAAAAUACCAUUUGGCCUUUUAAAGCCCUUCAUAAUGUAGAUUCUCCUAUUUUUCCCGCACUCCUCUUAAUUCUAGGCCUAGUGUUUAAGAUGUGACAACUGGCCUAGCUGAUCUAUAAACGAGAUAACUCCAUCUGAAAUUUUCAUCUCCAAUGCCCAAAAUCUCAAAUGUUCCCUGACUUUACCCCAGCUAAAAUUCUGUCUUACUGUAAGCCUUCUCUAACUCCUCUUAAAUCCAUUGCCUUUCCUCUGCUAAUUAUAUCCUAUUUUUCCUGUAUAUAGUUUGCUUUGUAUGUAUUUGUUUGCAUUUUGACUUCCCCAUUAGAUUGGAAUCUCCUUGAGGACAGAAUCUUUUCCCCUUUAUUUUUAAUCUCCAGCACUUCAUACAGCUCUUGCUACAUAGUAAGUGGUUAUGGUUUAUUGAUUUAUUAUAAAAGGAAAUGUGCUUAGUUUGGCAUGACUGUUCAAAAUGAACCCAUGUUGGCUUAUAAUGACCAUUCCCCUUUUUUUAAUGUUUAUACACCAAUCUCUCCAGAUGACAGAAUCUCAACAAAAGGGACCUCAAAGACUUCCAGACUAGGAAUCCCUUCUACAAUAACCUUUACAAGUAAUCAAUGUCUGCUUGAUUUAAGACCUCAUGAAGGAUAACAUUACUCCAAAAUAGUUCAUUCUCUUGGCAUUAGCAAUACUAGUUUGAUAUGCUGUUGACUCUAUAUUUCAGGAAAGAUUUGCCAACUACCUGCUAGUAACUAAUUCAAAGGUGAUCAUGUUUGGAAUACAUUGUGGCUUGACUUUGGAUGAUUAGGCUUAAGUUAAAACUCCUAUUUUCUGAUUUGAUUGGAUGGGAAUAUGUGACCUAGAAGCUUACAAUCAUCCCAGAAUGAAAAUUUCAUCAAUAAUACUUUUAUGGGUGAAGACCUCAUUUUUGGUAGAUGAAUGCCAAGAUUGAAUGAGAAAGAGUAUUUGGGCACCAAUAUAAAGGAUAGAGGGGAGGUAUCUGUGAAGAGGCUAAAUAAGAGACAACGGUGACCAUACUGGGAAUGUAAAAUAGCCUUCAGAUGACAGAAAGAUUGCAGAGAUAGGACUUGACAAUUUUUUGGAGACAUAAGUUAGAGAAGAAAACAAUUGAACAUAAUUCAUACUUUUUGAGCCUGGAUGUCUGGGAAGAUACUAACAAAGAAAUUAGAGGAACUAAUUUAGGCAGGCAAAUCAUAAGAUUAUGCUUAGAAUGUAGAGUUAGAAGGGAUCAUAGAUAACUUCUAGUCAUCUCCAUUCCUAUCCCCCAUCAGUUUACAAAUGAGAAAACGGGUCCAGAGAUUAAGUUGGACACAACCGAAAAAAAUGACCAGCAAAAUAUGCUAAUGAUAGCUUUAUCAGAAAGGAAUUUGAUGCUUUCAUUUCUAAAUUACAGACUUAGAAUUGUAAAAGGCUAUUAGGGCAUUAAAUUUGCGAGUCAAAGGAUUUGGAUAUGAAUGCUAGCUUUGCUAUUUUACUGAGUAAAUUUGUUCUGAGCUUUUGGUUUCCUCAUCUGCAAAAUAGGGGUGGGGUGCAUAGGGCUGGAAUAGAUCAUCUUUAACACUUCUAAUUAUCAAUCAUAUAAGUUGAUAAUGCACUGGUUCUGUUGCUUUAUCUGAUUCAAGAAUCCCCUCUACAGUAUCCCCAUACAGGGUUGAACCUAAAACUAUGUUGGGAAAAUAAUCGAGAGGAAUCCUUUGUCCCAUGGCAUCCCCACCCUUGGAGUGCAAUUUCAAAAAUGUUUCUUAUAAGGGCGGAUAAAUGUGGAGUAGAACAACCACAUCAGUGUCUAGAGGCAUGAUACUCUCUAUAAACCCCAAGAAUCUAAGUGUUGUACAGUAAAUUGGCAUCAUUCCCUUCCUGAAUUUCUCAAAAAACAAUUGCUCAAUGUAAUGCUCUAUUGGCUGCUUUCCCUCUGCACAAACCAUGAAUAUUUUAAUUGGCUAUGCAUUUCAAAUCUUAUUUGAUGCUUGGUCCUCCAUGGAAACCAUUUAGGUGUGCUUGUGUUUGUCACAGCCCUUAAUAAAACACUUUUGAGUAGGGAUAUUUAAUAUGUGGUAGUUAUAUUUCUAAUAUUUGGCUGAGUAGUUUGCAACCCAAGUCUCUUUAAAAUUCAAUGAAAAAAAAAUCAUAGAAUCUAUUUCAAUAGAAAUAUUUAACAUUUAUAAUGCAUUGUCCUAACACUCCUGAGGUAGAAAGUAUAGAAAAGGACUCAAAUGAAAUACUUUGCCCUUCAACACAGUAUUAUAUUGGAAAAAGGUCUAGCUUUUAGUACAUACAGUAGUGGAAAUGGAGUAAAGACCCAAAUUCAAAUCUGGCCUCAGAUACUUGCUGUGUGAUAACUGAACAAAUCACCCAACCUAUCAAAUGUGAUCCCAUUGAUGUGGCUAUUCCUGUCUAGUGAUACAAAUUACAAUCCUUCAUAGCUGGACAUCUUUUGCAACAAAAUUCUGAGUUCUUCAAAGAGUAUUUAUCUACCUUUUUUGAUGACAAUAGGGUACAUACAUCCCACUUAGUUUUUUUUUUUCUCUUCCAGUUUCUCCAGUUUUCCAAUUCUCAUAUAUAACCAUAUGCCUCUCCAUUGUCUUUUGAAUAAUGUACAGCUUUAUUUUUUUAAGAAAUUAUAGUUUUCUGUGUUUAAGAUACAGUGUAAAUUGAUGCUAAAUUGGAGUAUAAGGAAGAAGAGUAUUGGCUGAAUUGCCUGUGGGAAAUGACAGAUUUUGUUAAAGGUCCCUUGCUUCUCCUUGAAAUGGCCCAUAUUAAAAUCCUAAUAGUAGGGUUUCAUAUCCUCCCCUCCCCACAAAACCAUUUGGCAUACUAAUGGAUAAGUUCCAUAGGUUGUCCAUUGAGAAGAGGCUCCUAAUUGCUUUGAUAAAUGCAUGAGACCUCUUAAAGGAAUCGCUUUGCUCUACCAAAUAAAAUUUUGUUUGUUUUUCAGGGGUGGAAUUUCAAGAGCACUGAUUCUGAAACCAGAGGACCUAUCUUCAAAUCUUGCCUUUGUUACUACCUGUGUGACCUUGGGAAAGUCAUAGACUUCCUGGGCCUCAGUUCACUUAUGGAUAAAAUGAGAGGAUGAAUUAGGUGACCCCAAAAUUAUAAUUCUAAUUGUGCCUAUGAUUUAAUCUAUUCCCAAGGCUCAUUUGGCCUUAUGGUCAACAAGCAAUAAGCACCAGGAGAUCUUAAAUUUCUACACCAGUGGCUUGAGUGAUAUGUAGUCGACUGUUCAAUAUCAUUUUCAAAAGCCUGCCUGUUCCCUAUUAAUACCCUCAUCAAUACAUUCAAGUCUUAUAAAUUAUUCUUAUAAAACUUAUACAGAUAAAACAUUAAGUAUAUAAUUUGAUAACUAUUGAUAUUACCAUUUUUCAGCUAUUAAUGAGAUCUGAAAUAUUUUACAUGCCUUUGAAUUCAGUUACCUUGUGAAUUGAUCUUUGAAAGUCCUCAUACAUGAUCAGUCUUCACUAUGAAUUGCCAGUUAACUACUUUUUUUCCUUCUUGUGAUCUCUUAGCUACUUUCUAACCACAUUUGGAACAUGAUGUUAAAGUCUCUAAGAGGGUGCUUCCUCUUUCCUGAAAAGGGUUUGUUUGCAAAUCUUUUGCAUACCUUUACAUCUUUUCUGUCAUUUGUUGCCUAACCUUAGUGCAUUCUUAAAUGCACUUAAAUUUCAGCAAAAAACUUUUAAGUUAUUGAUAAUUUUUUUCUCUUAACUUACCUUCAUUUUGUAGCAUCUCUCCAGAGCUAUCAUGUAUAACCAAAAUUUAAAAAAAAAAAAAAAGUGGGGUAAGGGGAACAAACAUUAAGUAGCUACUAUGUGAUAGAUACUGUGAUGAGAAAAAAUAAUCAGUUCAAAUAAAACCAACAAAUCCCAUCUCAGUCCAGAACAUAGUGGUCCAUUUUCUCAGUCUUCACCUCUAUAAAGAAAGCACUAAGAUACAUUUUCUCAUAUCUUUUCCAAAGACAAUUUAGGUCAUAUUUACACGGUAUUUUCAUUUGAUGAGAGUUCUAUUUAUAUUGUACUGAAACUAUCCUAUCCCUAUUUCUUUUUACUUUAUCAGUUUAUCUAAGUCUUCUCAUGUUUCUCUGAAGGCAGCUGAGUGGUACUGUGAAUGCAGCAAUAGACAUGGAAACCCAGAUAAAACUGACCUCAAUCACUAGUUGUGACCCUGGAUGUGCCAAUUUAACUGCUGCCUGCUUUAGUUUCCUCGUAUGUAAAAUAAGUAUAAUAGUAUUUACCUGCCAGGAUUAAAAGGAGUUAAUAUUCAUAAAGUGUUUUGCAAAUCUUAAAGCAUUAUAAUCUUUAUAUUACAAUAAUAUACUGUUCACAUGACAUUUUGGUUAGCCAGUCCCCAAUAAAUGAAUAUUUUUUUCAAUUA